UAGGGAAUCUUCGGCAAUGGGGGCAACCCUGACCGAGCAACGCCGCGUGAGUGAAGAAGGUUUUCGGAUCGUAAAGCUCUGUUGUAAGAGAAGAACGUGUGUGAGAGUGGAAAGUUCACACAGUGACGGUAACUUACCAGAAAGGGACGGCUAACUACGUGCCAGCAGCCGCGGUAAUACGUAGGUCCCGAGCGUUGUCCGGAUUUAUUGGGCGUAAAGCGAGCGCAGGCGGUUUAAUAAGUCUGAAGUUAAAGGCAGUGGCUUAACCAUUGUUCGCUUUGGAAACUGUUAAACUUGAGUGCAGAAGGGGAGAGUGGAAUUCCAUGUGUAGCGGUGAAAUGCGUAGAUAUAUGGAGGAACACCGGUGGCGAAAGCGGCUCUCUGGUCUGUAACUGACGCUGAGGCUCGAAAGCGGGGGGAGCAAACAGGAUUAGAUACCCUGGUAGUCCACGCCGUAAACGAUGAGUGCUAGGUGUUAGGCCCUUUCCGGGGCUUAGUGCCGCAGCUAACGCAUUAAGCACUCCGCCUGGGGAGUACGACCGCAAGGUUG
This 550-nucleotide ribosomal RNA is filed under the name uncultured bacterium. Its description in RNAcentral is "bacterial SSU rRNA". It matches the Rfam family "Bacterial small subunit ribosomal RNA", at positions 355 to 896 of the family's 1533-position model. The record is from RNAcentral.